GUGCGUUACAAUGUGGACAUGGCUUACUGUUCUGUCCAAUCCAUGUUUCAGCUUGAAUAUCAUUCACCAUGGAUUUUAAUUGUUUCUUCCCGUAACGCUUUUCCAUACUCUCUCUAGUUGAGUCAUCUCCAUUGAUAACCAACCUGAAGUCAUUUUACAUGGAGCAACACCAUGAUAAGUUGCCUUACACAUCAGACAAAAAUGGAAAUUGCAAUAUGGACAAGAAACAAGAUUGCUCUCUGGCUCAUAAGAAACUGGAUAUUGGCCUAUAUUAAGCAAUUUGAGCAUUCUGUUAUAUUUCUUAAAAACAUGUCUCUUAAUAAAAAAAUUAUAAUUUA
Daphnia pulicaria is the source of this 338-nucleotide long non-coding RNA. RefSeq lists it as uncharacterized. The record is from RefSeq and is a predicted model, not a curated record. The transcript has 2 exons. Lineage: Eukaryota; Metazoa; Arthropoda; Branchiopoda; Diplostraca; Daphniidae.